This 274-nucleotide ribosomal RNA is filed under the name uncultured bacterium. RNAcentral's name for it is "partial 16S ribosomal RNA". It matches the Rfam family "Bacterial small subunit ribosomal RNA", at positions 523 to 796 of the family's 1533-position model. The record is from RNAcentral.
CGACGGGGGGUGCUAGCGUUAUUCGGAAUUAUUGGGCGUAAAGGGCGUGUAGGCGGUUUUAUCGGUCAGAUGUGAAAGCCCAGGGCUCAACCCUGGACGUGCAUUUGAAACAGUAAGACUUGAGUACGGUAGAGGAAAGCGGAAUUCCUGGUGUAGAGGUGAAAUUCGUAGAUAUCAGGAGGAACACCGAUGGCGAAGGCAGCUUUCUGGACCGAAACUGACGCUGAUGCGCGAAGGCGUGGGUAGCGAACAGGAUUAGAAACCCCAGUAGUCC